Molecule: ribosomal RNA, 253 nt
Filed under: uncultured bacterium
Lineage: Bacteria
Description: partial 16S ribosomal RNA
Rfam family: Bacterial small subunit ribosomal RNA
Source: RNAcentral
UACGGAGGGUGCAAGCGUUAUCCGGAUUCACUGGGUUUAAAGGGUGCGUAGGUGGGCAGGUAAGUCAGUGGUGAAAUCUCCAAGCCUAACUUGGAAACUGCGUUGGAUACUAUCCGGCUCGAGGAAUGGAGGGGAGACUGGAAUACUUGGUGUAGCAGUGAAAUGCGUAGAUAUCAAGUGGAACACCAGUGGCGAAGGCGAGUCUCUGGACAUUUCCUGACGCUGAGGCACGAAAGCCAGGGGAGCAAACGGG